Molecule: ribosomal RNA, 492 nt
Filed under: uncultured bacterium
Lineage: Bacteria
Description: partial 16S ribosomal RNA
Rfam family: Bacterial small subunit ribosomal RNA
Source: RNAcentral
AGUGAACGCUGGCGGUAGGCCUAACACAUGCAAGUCGAACGGCAGCACAGUAAGAGCUUGCUCUUACGGGUGGCGAGUGGCGGACGGGUGAGGAAUACAUCGGAAUCUACUUUUUCGUGGGGGAUAACGUAGGGAAACUUACGCUAAUACCGCAUACGACCUACGGGUGAAAGCAGGGGAUCUUCGGACCUUGCGCGAUUGAAUGAGCCUAUGUCGGAUUAGCUAGUUGGCGGGGUAAAGGCCCACCAAGGCGACGAUCCGUAGCUGGUCUGAGAGGAUGAUCCGCCACACUGGAACUGAGACACGGUCCAGACUCCUACGGGAGGCAGCAGUGGGGAAUAUUGGACAAUGGGCGCAAGCCUGAUCCAGCCAUACCGCGUGGGUGAAGAAGGCCUUCGGGUUGUAAAGCCCUUUUGUUGGGAAAGAAAAGCAGCAGGUUAAUACCCCGCUGUUCUGACGGUACCCAAAGAAUAAGCACCGGCUAACUUCGUG